Molecule: ribosomal RNA, 493 nt
Filed under: uncultured bacterium
Lineage: Bacteria
Description: bacterial SSU rRNA
Rfam family: Bacterial small subunit ribosomal RNA
Source: RNAcentral
AUUGAACGCUGGCGGAAUGCUUUACACAUGCAAGUCGAACGGCAGCACGGGGGCAACCCUGGUGGCGAGUGGCGAACGGGUGAGUAAUACAUCGGAACGUGCCCAGUCGUGGGGGAUAACGUAGCGAAAGCUACGCUAAUACCGCAUACGAUCUACGGAUGAAAGCGGGGGAUCGCAAGACCUCGCGCGAUUGGAGCGGCCGAUGGCAGAUUAGGUAGUUGGUGGGGUAAAGGCUCACCAAGCCUUCGAUCUGUAGCUGGUCUGAGAGGACGACCAGCCACACUGGGACUGAGACACGGCCCAGACUCCUACGGGAGGCAGCAGUGGGGAAUUUUGGACAAUGGGCGAAAGCCUGAUCCAGCCAUUCCGCGUGCAGGAUGAAGGCCCUCGGGUUGUAAACUGCUUUUGUACGGAACGAAACGGCCUUUUCUAAUACAGAGGGCUAAUGACGGUACCGUAAGAAUAAGCACCGGCUAACUACGUGCCAGCAGCC